Mercenaria mercenaria is the source of this 3215-nucleotide long non-coding RNA. RefSeq lists it as uncharacterized. The transcript has 2 exons. The record is from RefSeq and is a predicted model, not a curated record. NCBI's taxonomy places the organism in Eukaryota, Metazoa, Mollusca, Bivalvia, Venerida, Veneridae.
CUGGGGUUGGCUAUAUAAUAGCUGCUGUUUAAACAGUAGUAAUAUUCAACGAUUACUUCAUCUGAGAAAAAAAAAGUGAAAUACGGACGAAGAACAGAAUCUAAAUUUCAAAUAACAAAAUGCCGCACAGUCGACUUGCGAUAUACGUGGCAGUGUUUCUUGUUUUGGCUCAACUUUUUGAAAUACCAUCCGCCAAGCGUUUAAAACUUUGUCGGUUAAACCGAAGAACAAACAUGUGCCAUGACGCCAUUCUGAUUGGACCGAUGCACCGGUACAAGAAAAGUCUAUGCGAGAUUGCGGGUGGAAGUUGUACGUUAUUCAAAGGACGCGUUAGAACAAGGUGUAUUUGUAACAGUAGAAGUGAUGUAUAAAAUAAGAAGGAAAAAAAAACACUUUUGUUGAUCUCAAUGUCAAGAUCCAAGUAUAAAUUAAAAAGUAGUUCUCAAUGAUAUUUGUAGAAGGAAAUUUAACAAGCGAAAAUAGACUUAAAUCGUGAUUGAUUCAUAACGAAGUCUAAAUAGCUAUUUACAUUGGAUAAACUCGAGUCCUCAUACCAACAAGGACAUAAUACGAACUAGAUCUAUGUUGAAUAUUAUUGACCUUGGCAACGCCGUUCAAACGCAUAGAUCUAUUAGAAAAGACAAAACGAGCUACUACUGCGUGGUGGAUAAAAGUCUCAAUUUGAAAAAUAAAGAGAAAAUAUCUUUUGCUGAACUGAAUAUUAUGCGAUAACCUUCAGAUUGUGUUUAAACCAUUUUUAAUAUAAUAUGAAUUAAGGCACCGCCUAGCAUUGGGGAUUUAUCUUUUAUAGCGAGCUCGAGAAUCGAGCUUUACGGUAACGCAAGUAUACUUUCACACUUGGUGAUGGAUUUGAAAAGUUUCGUCGGAAGUUUUAAAAAAGCGCACCCUAGCGGACUGGUGCUCACAGGAAGUACUUCUUUCCGGAGUGAAUACAGAACUUCAUUCAAUUGCUAAAAAUUACUCAUCACUUAACAAUAAUGAAAAAAAUGAUUUCCAGUUGUUUGAAAAAAAUAUUGUUUUCAUUUAAAAGAUCAAGCAUCGGCCAGAAAAUGGAAAAAAUGUCAUAAUAAGCCAAAAGAAACGGGAACGCGGUAAUGACGUCACCGUGACACCGGCUUCCCAUAAAUUUUGCAACGUAUGAUAUUCACUGUUAUAGGUAUGGUGACACUAAAUGUAGACUUUUUCAGUGAAGGUUAAAGGUCAGUAAUUCAAAUCCUUCUUUGUUUCAUAUAAAAAACGACAACUUCAGGUCGUCUUUACGUAUCUUUAGAGAACAUCACUUUUUCCUACACCUAUUUUUCAUGAAAGUUCUAUCACAAAUUAACGAAAAAAUGAAAAGAAAAUAGGGGGUUAUGUAGUUCCUAUUGAAAUGCCAGUCAGUUGUGGUCUGCUACCCUAAAAAUGGCUCAUAUUUACUCUCGUCCGCGCAAUAAACACCUACUUCCGGUUUCGAUCUGCAAAACUUGCCAUGUGGGUUGUAUGAACAUGAAAACCGUCUCAUUUCAUGCAGAAUGUCUUCUAGUAGUGAAAAACGGUGACUAAAGCACUCGUUCUACACGAAUUUGCGCAAAAAAUGGGAAAAUUAGGAUCUAUUUAUUAUGGACUUCUUUCGACACCACGGAAGCACAUUUUCGACCGAAUUACUGACCUUAUUCCUGAAUAGGUUCUCCUGAGUUCUUGUGACUAGUGAAUAGUUUCUUUGUGACAAAUAAAUGAUGCAUAAUAUUUUCAGAUAAAUCCGAUUUCUUUGAGCUCGCUUUGAGGCUUUGCCUUAUUUCAUAUUAUAUCCGCUUAGAAAGAAAUAUUCAACGCUCAAGAAAGUGAAACUUUGCUCUAAACUGUAGUUUACAUUUAGUGUCAUCAUACCUCUUACAGCGAAUAUCAUACUUUGCAAAAUUAACGGAAGCCAUGCCGGUGACGUCAUUCAGCGUUCUCGCACUAGCUUUUAGAAUUUUGUUUUGUUUGUUUGCACUCCACGCAGAAACUUGACGGUCUUUACACUUCCUUACUGUUUUAAAAGUGUUUUUCAGUAGCACGUACAGUUUUCAUUACAAAAAAGAAGUAAAAUUAUCAUGUUAGCGCGGUUUACGAGUUUCUAUGACUGAUACGGGGUGCUCGGAUGUUCAUAAAGACAACCAGUCAGCGGAUUUUACAUAAACCGGAACCGGAAAACAUCGAAAAAAUUGCCUCAGUAUAUGCAAACAGCAAAGACGAAUAUCUAUAUACGGACGUUACCGUCCCGGGGAUUUUCAUCCCCGGCGCUUGGCGCCGGUGAUAAAUCCCUUAUUAAUGAUUUUAUUAUUUUUUUGUUGAAUUAUCUAUCAUUCAAAAUGCCGCAUUUCAUUAUUUUUGAAAACAAGUGUUAAAUGGCAUGCGGUAUAUAAUGGCCAGUUUAUCAAUAAUCGGAAUAAUGGUUCAUUUGUAAGUAGUGUAAUUUUACGUAAAUCGUCUGUGACUUUUUCACCUGGAUGUAUCUGAGGUUCUUACUGACUUUCUUAUGAUAUCAAAAUGCAUAUAACCUUCUUCAUUUUUGUCUAAUUUAAAACUUAGGAAAACUUUUAUUUCCCCAAAUCUGUUUUUUAAUAUAUAGUUCGAAAGAGAACUUUUUGUAACUGAAAAAAAAAACAGGAUUCGUUUUUUUUUUAAAGUCUGAUGAAUAUUCAUGCCCACCACUUCCGCUCUGUAUCCAGUGUAAGACCAGUUACUGAAGUUUCAUAAUAAAUAAUGUGUCCAAAAAAUUUUUUUAUCUUUUUAUUUAGCUACAAAGUCUUUUCCAGAGAUUUGUUAGAGAAUGUAGGAUAAAGACGGACAAAAGUCAUAACUUUGAUAUAUCAUAGCGAAAACAUGAAAAUAUACUUGUCUCUCUAUCUGUUUUUAUAUGAGUACAUUUUCUUCUGGUCAAGUUUUAUUUAUAAUAAACUAUAUGUGAACCAGAUGUACGAUAGAAGUAUUAAUUCAAGAAUCCACGGAAAAGAAAAUCUGUCAACAUCAUCAUCACGUCUGCUGCCAGUGUGCUUGGUUGUGGUCUAUACUUACAAAUUAGUUAUUAUGUUAUAAAAAUCACGCAUUUGCAAAAAUAUAAUUGUCAUGUCUUAAGCAGAUUUCGCUGAUACAUUGUAUGUAAAAUUAAUGUCACAAAUUAUUAUGUCUAGUUUUGUUUUAGUGGUGGUAAAUUAAACAGGGUAUACUAUGAA